This 393-nucleotide ribosomal RNA is filed under the name Echinophthirius horridus. Its description in RNAcentral is "partial 12S ribosomal RNA". It matches the Rfam family "Microsporidia small subunit ribosomal RNA", at positions 654 to 1202 of the family's 1311-position model. Lineage: Eukaryota; Metazoa; Arthropoda; Insecta; Psocodea; Echinophthiriidae. The record is from RNAcentral.
ACUAGGAUUAGAUACCCUAUUAUACACAGCGUAAUUUGAGAUACCAGAAGAGUAUUAGUUUGGUUCUAGAAAAUUAAGUAGUAUGGCGGCUCAAUGCCCAUCCAGAUACAUAUGCAAGUAAUCGAAAUUGCACGCCAAUCUUACCUUCGCUAAUAUUUUGUACAUCGCUGUCAUGAAAGACUAGUAGUUAAAUACGAGUCAACCUCUAAAAUGAGAGAAAUGUCAAGUCAAGGUGCAGAUUAUGCGGGGGCAUACUGUGUAUGUCAGUAAUUGAUCAUACUGUCGGAUUUACUUAGGAAGUUAAGUAAAGAAGAAGAAUUUGGUAGUAAGCUACAUUCAUUAUAUGAAGCUGAAUAUACUUUGGCUACAUUGAGUGUACACAUCGCCCGUCGC